GGACCUUCUUUCUCUUGCGGCUCAGGAGGGGGCGUCACCCUGAGGAGGAAGGACCUGAAAAGAGAUGAGCGGUUCAGCGUUGCCCGGAACUCGACAGACAGCCACGGAGCAGUGCCGUGCAGGUGACCUAGCUAGCGCAGCUGACCAACAGAGAUCCCAGGCCCACACGGACUCUUCUCACCGAGGCCAUGGCCACUGAGCCAACAAGAUUCCACAGACUCCUACCCCAGGCUCGCCUCGCUGCAUGCGCCUGCCUUCCAGACCUCCCUGCUAACUCCGACGCAUCUCCACCCACACCAGGGCUGGCUACUGACCUUCCUGCCAUCCAUCAGGUCCCUUCUUUGGACCCUUGCCUCUCCAGCUCUUCUCACAAUCGGAAACAGACUUAGAGAGCUGAAGUGAUUUGUCCCAGCUCACACUGUGCGUGCUUUCCUCAUGUCACCCCCUGCUGCCCUCCAGUUCUCAGCAGAGUGCCUGUGUGGACUGCCCGCUCCCUGCCAACAGGUUCAAGAACACGAAGUAAGUGAUUUUCAAUGGGCUGUACAGACCAGGGUCCUGUAUCAGAAUCCCUGACCAGCUGCUACACACCAUAUGCGAAACCUGGAGCAAGUACCGUCAGGUCCCUUGACCCACAGGAUCCCCACCCUGGUGCCCUCCCAGAGGCUGGGUGUGCUGCCUGGCCAGGUCUGGGCUGGCAGGCAUGGAAGUUCUUUGCUGAAAGAUAAACAAGUAUCUGGGAAAGCCCCAUCACAAGAACGUUUUAAAGAGGUACUUGGUAAUUUCUGUACUUUUGUGAAGCUGAGUUAAGU
Long non-coding RNA from Manis pentadactyla (Chinese pangolin), 809 nucleotides. RefSeq lists it as uncharacterized. Lineage: Eukaryota; Metazoa; Chordata; Mammalia; Pholidota; Manidae. The record is from RefSeq and is a predicted model, not a curated record. The transcript has 4 exons.